Molecule: ribosomal RNA, 397 nt
Filed under: uncultured bacterium
Lineage: Bacteria
Description: partial 16S ribosomal RNA
Rfam family: Bacterial small subunit ribosomal RNA
Source: RNAcentral
AUACGUAGGGGGCGAGCGUUGUCCGGAAUGAUUGGGCGUAAAGGGCGCGUAGGCGGCGCGGUAAGUCUGGAGUGAAAGUCCUGCUUUCAAGGUGGGAAUUGCUUUGGAUACUGCCGCGCUUGAGUGCAGGAGAGGUUAUCGGAAUUCCCGGUGUAGCGGUGAAAUGCGUAGAGAUCGGGAGGAACACCAGUGGCGAAGGCGGGUAACUGGACUGCAACUGACGCUGAGGCGCGAAAGUGUGGGGAGCAAACGGGAUUAGAUACCCUGGUAGUCCACACUGUAAACGAUGAAUGCUAGGUGUAAGAGGUAUCGACCCCUUUUGUGCCGGAGUCAACACAAUAAGCAUUCCGCCUGGGGAGUACGGCCGCAAGGUUGAAACUCAAAGGAAUUGACGGGG